RNA transcript from Hipposideros armiger (great roundleaf bat), 1955 nucleotides. It is a transcript of the gene named tetratricopeptide repeat domain 29, with no coding region annotated. NCBI's taxonomy places the organism in Eukaryota, Metazoa, Chordata, Mammalia, Chiroptera, Hipposideridae. The record is from RefSeq and is a predicted model, not a curated record. The transcript is spliced from 16 exons.
UUAGUCUCGCCACCACCGCGGGAAGUGAGGGCAGCACUGGCGCCCAGCACCUGCCACCGGUGGGGGACGUACUUCGGAGGAACGGAAAACCAGAGUUGUUCCCCAGGGCCAGUCCACUGAGGCUGAAGUCUGUAAGCCUGGAAAGACCUUCAGCAGUCAUCUCCCAAUUCCAAAAUGACCACCCUGCCCUCACUGCCCAUGACACGCCCGAAGCUUGCGUCCUUAGCCAGACAGAAGCUGCCAUGCUCCCCCAGUACAAUUCCAAGGUCUCAAUUGAUCAAAGAAAAAGAUGGCAUAGAUCAUUACCUGGAGGUGAAUUUCAAAGGAUUGUCAAAAGAGGAGGUUGCUGCCUACCGGAACUCAUACAGAAAGACCAUUUGCGUGGACAUGCUGCGAGAUGGUUAUCAUAAGUCCUUUACUGAGCUCUUCGCGCUGUUGGAGAAGUGGGACGCCAUGAGGGAGGCCGCGAGGGUCCGGUCCAUCUUCUGGUCGCAGAGGCCCCUGGAGGAGCAGCCUGAUAAGCUGGAUCACCUCUACUACUACCUGACCAGGGCGGAGGUGGCUGAAAGGAAAGAAUUCCUUGAAGAUGUCUAUAAUAACAUCUAUGCUCUGGCCUGUUACUUCAGUAAUUCUGAAGACAAGUGGGUAAGGAACUACUUCUACCAACGAUGUUUCCAAAUUGCUCAACUGAUCAAAUCGGACGGUGGGAAGAAAGAAGCCGAGGCGCAUGGACACAUGGGACUUCUCUUCGAGGAGGACGGUCAGCUUCUAGAAGCUGCCGAGCAUUAUGAAGCGUUCCAUCAAUUGACGCAAGGGCGGAUAUGGAAGGAUGAGACAGGCCGCUUUCUCAACUUGUUGGCCUGCGAGAGUCUCCUGAGGAUUUACAGAUUACUCGCAGACAAAAUGCUGGAAAAUAAAGAUUACAAACAAGCCAUCAGAAUUCUAAUAAAAGCCUCUAAAAUAGCCAAAGAAGGAAACGACAAAAAGAUGGAAGGAGAGGCUUCCUAUUACUUGGGCUUAGCAUACUUGGCUGCAGGAGAGCAUGAAACAGCAUUAACAGUCCUCGACACUUACAGUAAAAUCUCUACAGACCUGGCUGAUGAUCUCGGCCUGGGGAGAGCCUAUGAAGCCAUCGCCAAAGUCCUGCAGAGCCAAGGAGAGAUGACAGAAGCCAUUAAAUAUCUGAAACAAGUUGUGAAAAUUUUAAGAAGCAAUUUUCAGUUCCUAGAUGCUGUGAGAGCAAGUACAAUGCUUGGUGACAUCUACAAUGAAAAAGGAUACUACAACAAAGCUUCUGCAUACUUUCAGCAAGCUUUCGACACAACAACAGAGCUAACAAACAUUCCCCUGAUGGAGGAAACAAAAGUUCAUUACGGAAUAGCAAAAGCGCAUCAGAUGAUGCUGACAGUGAGCAAUUAUAUAGAGUCUGCAGACCUCGCCAGCCUUAACCAUCUACUAUCAUGGAAGGAGGGCAGAAGCAGCAUCGCGCCUGAUCCAGUUUUUAGAGAGUCAAGAAGCGCCACACUGGCAAGUUUAUAUGAAGCCUCAGAGCACUUGGAAGAACGCAAUGGCAGGCUUCCUGCCCUCUCACAGGAUUAUGAUAGCAUAUCUGCACAGUGAUGAUGGUAUACCGAAAUGGAGAAGACACAUUUGGUUAACUUUCAAGAGCUUCAUUUAAAGCAGACAAGACAAAAAGCUACAUCCACGGAGCCAACAUUCAAGAUGGAGAACACACGCUAUGUAUUAACAAGUUCAUCAGAGGACUCUGAGGAGGUAACAUGUGAACUGAAACGUGCAGAAUGAGAAGAAUGCAGCAGUGUGAAAAUCCAGAAGGAGAAGCACUCCAUCAGACAACAGCAAUGCAAAGGUCCUGAGAGAUCUUCUCACAUCUACUUUAUGGUGAAAGACUUACAAGAAUUGCUCACAUCAAUGGCAUGUGUCAACCAGCCGACCUU